GGAGGAAAGCAGGGGAUCGUAAGACCUUGCGCUUUUGGAGUGGCCGAUGCCUGAUUAGCUAGUUGGUGGGGUAAGGGCCUACCAAGGCGACGAUCAGUAGUUGGUCUGAGAGGACGACCAGCCACACUGGGACUGAGACACGGCCCAGACUCCUACGGGAGGCAGCAGUGGGGAAUUUUGGACAAUGGGCGAAAGCCUGAUCCAGCAAUGCCGCGUGAGUGAAGAAGGCCUUCGGGUUGUAAAGCUCUUUCAGUCGAGAAGAAAAGGUUGCGACGAAUAAUCGUAACUCAUGACGGUAUCGACAGAAGAAGCACCGGCUAACUACGUGCCAGCAGCCGCGGUAAUACGUAGGGUGCGAGCGUUAAUCGGAAUUACUGGGCGUAAAGGGUGCGCAGGCGGCUUUGUAAGUCAGAUGUGAAAUCCCCGGGCUUAACCUGGGAAUUGCGUUUGAAACUACAAAGCUAGA
This 466-nucleotide ribosomal RNA is filed under the name uncultured ammonia-oxidizing beta proteobacterium. RNAcentral describes it as "bacterial SSU rRNA". It matches the Rfam family "Bacterial small subunit ribosomal RNA", at positions 198 to 645 of the family's 1533-position model. Lineage: Bacteria; Pseudomonadati; Pseudomonadota; Betaproteobacteria. The record is from RNAcentral.